This is a long non-coding RNA of Aquila chrysaetos chrysaetos, 3972 nucleotides long. RefSeq lists it as uncharacterized. The transcript is spliced from 3 exons. The record is from RefSeq and is a predicted model, not a curated record. NCBI's taxonomy places the organism in Eukaryota, Metazoa, Chordata, Aves, Accipitriformes, Accipitridae.
CGUCCCUGGCAGUGUUCAAGGCCAGGUUGGAUGUGGCUGUGAGCAACCUGGUCUAGUGGAAGGUGUCCCUGCCUAUGUUGAAUGAUUCUGUGAUUCUAUGUUCUUAAAUGCCCCCCAGUUCGGUGAUACCCAAGAGGACCUGUAUUUGCUUUGCGGGGACCUCAUGGCCAAGUUACAGGCAGUGGGAGAGCUUCCUCAUAUUGCUGUAUCCCACAGAGACUGGUUUUCCAUCCAUCUCCCCCCCUCUGUACUAACACCCCCUCUUUUUCCCCCGCAGCUGGGCUGCUGAAGUGGUGAACAUCACAUCUUCCAUACUUCCAAACCUCCCCCUGCACCCUAGGUGUGAGAGCAGCAGGUCGGCUGGGGUCUGUUCUUCAUUGUAGUGUAACACCGUGGCAAAAUCCUCAUGUCUGGCAAACUUAGGCAGUUUAGAAAGGCGUUAUGGCUGCAAAUAUCCGCAGCCCCAAAGUAAUGUCGAAGGAGUUAAAUGCUCAUGCUCCCCUGUGCCAGACUGCCUGGCUGAGAGCGCUUGCAGCAAAGUAUGUGCCAUAGAGAAGUUUCUGCGCUGAGUCACAAGUAUUGAGCACCACUCGGUUUCAACCCUGUCACAUUUUAAGCAGGCAUGGGAUUUUUUUUAAUGGCAAUCUGGGAUACAGUGAUAUGCUAGGUACCACCCAGUAACUAAGCACCAUUCUCAUUGGUGGUUGCCACAUUAGCAGAAGGAUGCUGCAUCACUGUGUUGUUUAACUGAUGUCUAUGUCUUCCCUUGCUUCUAAUCACCAUAUAAUUUCAUUUCCCCCCCCCCCCCCCCCCCCAGUUUUGGCUCUGCAGGUUUCUCUGCUUCCCUCGGAAGACAGGGGUCUUCACAGGUUGCUACCUCUUGUUGUUAUAGUAGAAAACAGCACCUGAUUUUGUCUUCUGGCUUUGACUAUUCUGCCCUCAGACCUGAGUUGUUGUCUUGCAAGCACCUUGCAUUCCCUGCACAACAUCAGUGUACCGAUUCUAGAAGAUGGCAUCAAAAAGUGACAUUUUUCUUCUGUCUAAACCAUUCAGAUGAUGCCAUGUGUGCAGAUACUCCACACCUCAAAUGAGGGGUGGUCUUUGAGACCUCCCUGUACAAAAUUUUACACCAGCUGCAAUAAACCAGCUCCCCAGAACUCUAAUAGCAAAACAAAACGUGUGUUUCUACGAUAAUUUCGCUCACAGCACCGUUUGCAGCAACAAGACCUUGAUAACAGUGGUAGCAGAUAACAGGAGGUUUGUUCUGGUCACUGGGUGUUUGCUUCUGGCUGUGAGAAAGAUUGUCCCGUUCAUCCAUUCCCAAUAGCCUUUAUUAUGGCUGAAUUGAUCCAUGCGGUGUCAUUUGCACAAAAGCUGUUAUAGGGGAAAAGUGCCAAGGGGUCUCACUCACUGGGUGACCUUUUGGGUGCCAAGCAUGAAGUCAUUUCAGAUGCCUGAAGGCUCCUGGCCUUUUUAAUUUUUUUUUUUUUUUUUUAUUUCAGUGGUGUGUGUGGAGAAAUACCUGAACAAAACAUGUUUCCAGCUGACAUCUUCCCUGGGCAUUUUGCAUCCUAGCAGCAAAACGAGUCUGGAUGGAGCCUGGAAGCAGCCGUGGCCGAUGGAGGGAUCCAGCCUGCGGUCAUCUCCCAGAGCCGUGUGAGGAGCCAUGAAUGGUGGCAACCAGCAUGACUCCAGUCUCAGAUGUGACGGAGGAGAAAAAGGCAGAGGGAAAAGAACUGUGAUUUCCCUGGAGGGGGGCGAAUUCUCCAUCCGUGGUAUCACGCAGGUAUGCCGUGAUGCACGAACAAGGAAGGACAGGCUAGAGAGGCCACAGCUGCAGCUUUCCCACAGGGCAUGGAGGAGAGAGACUCCCUUGAUCCCGGUUUGUAAUCCCUGUUUAAUACUCCCAGCGAAAAGUUCAAAAUCCACAGGGUCUCCUGCCAACACAUCGAGGCGGGGGGGAAAUUCCUCUGGUGCUUUUGGGUGGAAAGAAUGACAUCUGCGAGGCCUCGGCGGAGGUCCAGCACGGGUGACGGCAGGUCGGAUUGCAAACCCCUGCAUCCCGUACCUUCCCGGGAGCUAGGCUAUGGGGGGACGAGAUGGGGUCCUUGUGGACAGCCACAGCUCCGGGGCAGGACUUUGCCAUCCCUGGGUGGCAAGCUGGGAGGACGCACGUGGCCGCCAGGUCCCGUGCUCUUUCUACACUGAUACAGGAGCUCUGGUUUGGGAUCGUGGCAAACCAACAAGACGUGGGGCUCUGGGGUACGCUUUCCAGGCUGGCUGGAUGCGCUGCCUUGGACUGGUGAUAUUCGGUCCUCACCCCCUCCCUUCUGCCUCGCAGUGACUGCGACCGUCUGGAUCCACCCGAAAAUUAACCGAAAGAAAAAGAAAGUGGUUAGUUUUUCAGCCACGUCAGCCCCACGAACGCCAGGGCCAUCUCAAGGGCAGGCUGCGAGAGCGGGACGAGACCGGUGAUUUGGGACGCUGUAGCUUCAGUUUCCCCACUGUGAGGAGGCUGAGGCAGGCAGCAAGGAACGCGCCAUUUCCAGUUUUUGACCCUUUAUUACAAAAUACGAGCAAAGAAGGCCCAGGACCAGGGUGGUCCGUCUGCUCAGUCAUGCACAGAGUGGGGCUGCAAAGGGGAAUCUCUGACGUCUCGUUAAAAAGCUGAAUUCCUGUCCGCUGCGAUGUUAAAGCUCUUCCUGGCUGCCUGUUUUCAAGAAGCAUAUGGGAACUUAAAAGGUUUGAGCUCUCUGCCUCUCCUUUAAAUUUGGUUGAAGCUGUCAGACAGCUGAGAGGAGGCGCAGACCCACAUGCCCCCCCUCCCCUGCAGCGCAGCAAUUUUUCAGGCCUCUUCUGAGGAAACGGGAUGUAAAAGGAAACCAUUUAUUCUGGAGCCAGCCGAAGGAACAGAAACGCCCCUAAAACCGACCCUUGCUUGGAAAGAGAUCCUCCGCCAGCCAGUCUUCUGCUUCCAGCGCAUUGCUGCUCUGGGGCGGGCAGCGGGGCGGGUUCAGCGUGUGCACGCGUGUGCACGUGUGUGCAUGCGUGUGCACGCCCGCUUGUGCGUAGGCACACAAGUUACACAACUGCCUGCUUCGCCAAUCUUACCGAUGUCCCUCAAAGUGGCUUGGUUGUUGGAAAUCAGGUCCCCAGCAAGCCGAGCUGCAAAACUCUGCCACUGGUGAUGCUGGUGGGGGCCGAAUGCAGGAGAGGGCUGGGGGUUUUGCUGCGUUGUGGACUUCGGGGUGCUUGGUGCGGCAGUUUUAAGGCAGGAAAGGAGGAGGGGAGAGAUGAAUCUGAGGAAAGACACGCUGGGCUCGGCACCCCCCCCUGCACCGGGCAGCGGUCCAGCAGGAGUAAACGGCGUGUACAUUUCUCAUCGCCCACGUGUUGCAGAUAUGUAAGCAAAGGGAUGCUUAGGAAGGGGCUUGGCAGCCUCUUCGUCUUUUCUGCUCUUACAGAGGCAACAGAAAAGCUGCCCAGAGAGAUACAACAGGAGAAGGGGCUUCAUCCUUCCCCGUGUCCAGGGACCAGAGGCUCUUGGUUGCCCCAACCCUCGUGACAUUGUUGUGCUGAUCUGGUGGGACCAAACCAGUUUGUGUCUAGACCUGAGCUGCUGCGCCUUUGCUUGGGUUGACAGAACGCACCCACGUGGGAGGCAAAUGUCACGCCGGUCGGGUCCCUUCACGUAGGUCCAAACUGGGUGAGGAAGCAUAACCCUUGUGGCAGUUUAGGAUGUAUCUGCAAAAGGCCAAGACCAGUCUCCAAGGCAAGGGGACCGGCUGGUGGAGGGUUGAGCAUGCGUUGAUGAGAACAGAGAUAAGGCAUCUGAGAGUUUCUUUGCUCUCUGUGUCGUAAGAGUGGUUGAGCUCAAGUAAGAGUUACCCAUUUGAACUUAAUUUGGCCUUUCCAAGCUUUUUAGUGCUUUUUGCAACUUUAAUGCCACUUCUGAUGUCGUUUUGCAGUGCA